AUUGAACGCUGGCGGCAUGCCUUACACAUGCAAGUCGAACGGUAACAGGUCUUCGGAUGCUGACGAGUGGCGAACGGGUGAGUAAUACAUCGGAACGUGCCCGAGAGUGGGGGAUAACGAAGCGAAAGCUUUGCUAAUACCGCAUACGAUCUCAGGAUGAAAGCAGGGGACCGCAAGGCCUUGCGCUCACGGAGCGGCCGAUGGCAGAUUAGGUAGUUGGUGGGAUAAAAGCUUACCAAGCCGACGAACUGUAGAUGGUCUGAGAGGACGACCAGCCACACUGGGACUGAGAGACGGCCCAGACGCCAACGGGAGGCAGCGAUGGGGAAUUUUGGACAAUGGGCGCAAGCCUGAUCAGCCAUGCCGCGUGCAGGAUGAAGGCCUUCGGGUUGUAAACUGCUUUUGUACGGAACGAAAAGACUCUGGUUAAUACCUGGGGUCCAUGACGGUACCGUAAGAAUAAGCACCGGCUAACUACGUGCCAGCAGCCGCCGUAA
Molecule: ribosomal RNA, 497 nt
Filed under: uncultured bacterium
Lineage: Bacteria
Description: partial 16S ribosomal RNA
Rfam family: Bacterial small subunit ribosomal RNA
Source: RNAcentral